Molecule: transfer RNA, 83 nt
Filed under: Trebouxia lynnae
Lineage: Eukaryota; Viridiplantae; Chlorophyta; Trebouxiophyceae; Trebouxiales; Trebouxiaceae
Description: Trebouxia sp. TR9 tRNA-Tyr
Rfam family: tRNA
About the family: Transfer RNA (tRNA) molecules are approximately 80 nucleotides in length.
Source: RNAcentral
GGGUCGAUGCCCGAGUGGUUAAUGGGGACGGAUUGUAAAUCCGUUGGUUAAGUCCUACGCUGGUUCAAAUCCAGCUCGGCCCA